GAUGAACGCUGGCGGCGUGCCUAAUACAUGCAAGUCGAGCGAACAGACGAGGAGCUUGCUCCUCUGACGUUAGCGGCGGACGGGUGAGUAACACGUGGAUAACCUACCUAUAAGACUGGGAUAACUUCGGGAAACCGGAGCUAAUACCGGAUAAUAUAUUGAACCGCAUGGUUCAAUAGUGAAAGACGGUUUUGCUGUCACUUAUAGAUGGAUCCGCGCGGCAUUAGCUAGUUGGUAAGGUAACGGCUUACCAAGGCAACGAUGCGUAGCCGACGUGAGAGGGUGGUAGGCCACACUGGAACUGAGACACGGUCCAGACUCCUACGGGAGGCAGCAGUAGGGAAUCUUCCGCAAUGGGCGAAAGCCUGACGGAGCAACGCCGCGUGAGUGAUGAAGGUCUUCGGAUCGUAAAACUCUGUUAUUAGGGAAGAACAAAUGUGUAAGUAACUAUGCACGUCUUGACGGUACCUAAUCAGAAAGCCACGGCUAACUACGUG
Molecule: ribosomal RNA, 497 nt
Filed under: uncultured bacterium
Lineage: Bacteria
Description: partial 16S ribosomal RNA
Rfam family: Bacterial small subunit ribosomal RNA
Source: RNAcentral